RNAcentral lists this ribosomal RNA (472 nucleotides) under uncultured bacterium. RNAcentral describes it as "bacterial SSU rRNA". It matches the Rfam family "Bacterial small subunit ribosomal RNA", at positions 355 to 825 of the family's 1533-position model. The record is from RNAcentral.
UGGGGAAUUUUGGACAAUGGGGGCAACCCUGAUCCAGCCAUGCCGCGUGAGUGAAGAAGGCCUUCGGGUUGUAAAGCUCUUUCGGACGGAACGAAAUGGUUACGGAUAAUACCUGUGACUGAUGACGGUACUGUAAGAAGAAGCACCGGCUAACUACGUGCCAGCAGCCGCGGUAAUACGUAGGGUGCGAGCGUUAAUCGGAAUUACUGGGCGUAAAGCGUGCGCAGGCGGUUCGCCAAGUCAGGUGUGAAAUCCCCGGGCUUAACCUGGGAAUUGCGCUUGAAACUAGCGGGCUUGAGUGUGGCAGAGGGGGGUGGAAUUCCACGUGUAGCAGUGAAAUGCGUAGAGAUGUGGAGGAACACCGAUGGCGAAGGCAGCCCCCUGGGUCAACACUGACGCUCAUGCACGAAAGCGUGGGGAGCAAACAGGAUUAGAUACCCAAGUAGUCCCUGAGCGGGCUGGCAAGGCGCAU